Acanthochromis polyacanthus (spiny chromis) is the source of this 626-nucleotide long non-coding RNA. RefSeq lists it as uncharacterized. The transcript is spliced from 2 exons. Lineage: Eukaryota; Metazoa; Chordata; Actinopteri; Pomacentridae. The record is from RefSeq and is a predicted model, not a curated record.
CUCAUCCCCUGUCUUUCCCAUCUGGCAUCCCAAAUACCCUUUUCCCCAUCUCUCUCCCUCUCAUGCUCCUCUCCCCCUCUCCUGUUCCUUUGCCCUGUCUGUCUUGCUGUCUCCCAUCCGCUUUUCUGCCCUGUCUGUCUCUCUCUGUCUCCCAUCCGCUACUCUGCCCUGUCUCUCCCCCUGCAGCUCGGUGCCUGAGUGGAGUCUAGCUUCCCAGCUGACUCCACUCAGGCAAUCAACCACCCCUACGGCUCCCGGACAGCAGACGAUCAUCACACUGAUUACUCGCCUCCACGAUAAGAACCGGCUCAUCCUUCCACUCCCUGCCAGAUUGUUGAACCAAGACACCUCAGUCAGCUGUCCGGGAUCCCCGCCAUCCUCCUUCCCCUCCGGCUCUCCCCAACCCAGUCAUCACCGGUUUUUCCCUCCUGGACCCUCCUGCCCAUGCCUGGACUCCCUAUUCCUGCCUGGACCCCCAUUCCUGCCUGGACCCCUUCUGUCCCUGCCUGGAUUCCCCCCCGUUCCUGGCCAAAACCCGCCACUACACCAGCCGCUCCUGCACUCUGGUUUUCCCCUCACCGAGCCAUUAUUCACCCCUCCAACAAUAAAACUCCUCUUCAGUCCCA